Nycticebus coucang (slow loris) is the source of this 78-nucleotide long non-coding RNA. RefSeq lists it as uncharacterized. NCBI's taxonomy places the organism in Eukaryota, Metazoa, Chordata, Mammalia, Primates, Lorisidae. The record is from RefSeq and is a predicted model, not a curated record. The transcript has a single exon.
AUGGGCAACGGCGAUUGGGACCGAAGGGGAGUCUCUCGGUCACUGUUGCUGGGACGCGAGCCUGUGCUGGUGUCUUAG